UACGUAGGGGGCAAGCGUUGUCCGGAUUUAUUGGGCGUAAAGCGCACGCAGGCGGUCUUUCGCGUUUUGAGUGACAGGUGGGGGCUUAACUCCCACAGGACUCAGAAGACGGGAAGACUUGAGGGCUUCAGAGGGACGCGGAAUUCCAGGUGUAGCGGUGAAAUGCGUAGAUAUCGUAAGGAAGACCAGUGGCGAAGGCGGGUCUCUGGACAGUUCCUGACGCUGAGGCACGAAGGCCAGGGGAGCAAACGGG
This 253-nucleotide ribosomal RNA is filed under the name uncultured bacterium. RNAcentral's name for it is "partial 16S ribosomal RNA". It matches the Rfam family "Bacterial small subunit ribosomal RNA", at positions 524 to 776 of the family's 1533-position model. The record is from RNAcentral.